GAGGGUAUAGCUCAAGUGGUAGAGCACAUGCUUAGCAUACACAAGGUCAUGCCUAGGUUCAAUCCCCAGUACCUCCU
RNAcentral lists this transfer RNA (77 nucleotides) under Camelus bactrianus (Bactrian camel). It matches the Rfam family "tRNA". From Rfam's summary of the family: Transfer RNA (tRNA) molecules are approximately 80 nucleotides in length. Their secondary structure includes four short double-helical elements and three loops (D, anti-codon, and T loops). Lineage: Eukaryota; Metazoa; Chordata; Mammalia; Artiodactyla; Camelidae. RNAcentral also lists the same sequence under 2 other names. The record is from Rfam by way of RNAcentral.